RNAcentral lists this ribosomal RNA (502 nucleotides) under uncultured bacterium. Its description in RNAcentral is "bacterial SSU rRNA". It matches the Rfam family "Bacterial small subunit ribosomal RNA", at positions 29 to 507 of the family's 1533-position model. The record is from RNAcentral.
AACGAACGCUGGCGGCGUGCCUAACACAUGCAAGUCGAACGGAUUUGAGGGGCUUGCUCCUCAAGUUAGUGGCGCACGGGUGAGUAACGCGUAGAUAAUCUGCCUGAUGAUCUGGGAUAACACUUCGAAAGGGGUGCUAAUACCGGAUAAGCCCACGUGGUCUUUGGAUCGUGCGGGAAAAGGGGGGGACCUUCGGGCCUUCUGUCAUCAGAUGAGUCUGCGUACCAUUAGCUAGUUGGUAGGGUAAAAGCCUACCAAGGCUACGAUGGUUAGCUGGUUUGAGAGAAUGAUCAGCCACACUGGAACUGAGACACGGUCCAGACUCCUACGGGAGGCAGCAGUGGGGAAUUUUGCGCAAUGGGCGAAAGCCUGACGCAGCAACGCCGCGUGAGUGAUGAAGGCUUUCGGGUCGUAAAGCUCUGUCGAGGGGAAAGAAGUGUACGGAGGCCAAUACCCUCUGUACUUGACGGUACCCCUAAAGGAAGCACCGGCUAACUCCGUG